This 492-nucleotide ribosomal RNA is filed under the name uncultured bacterium. RNAcentral describes it as "partial 16S ribosomal RNA". It matches the Rfam family "Bacterial small subunit ribosomal RNA", at positions 29 to 507 of the family's 1533-position model. The record is from RNAcentral.
AGUGAACGCUGGCGGUAGGCCUAACACAUGCAAGUCGAACGGCAGCACAGUAAGAGCUUGCUCUUACGGGUGGCGAGUGGCGGACGGGUGAGGAAUACAUCGGAAUCUACUUUUUCGUGGGGGAUAACGUAGGGAAACUUACGCUAAUACCGCAUACGACCUACGGGUGAAAUCAGGGGAUCUUAGGACCUUGCGCGAUUGAAUGAGCCGAUGUCGGAUUAGCUAGUUGGCGGGGUAAAGGCCCACCAAGGCGACGAUCCGUAGCUGGUCUGAGAGGAUGAUCAGCCGCACUGGAACUGAGACACGGUCCAGACUCCUACGGGAGGCAGCAGUGGGGAAUAUUGGACAAUGGGCGCAAGCCUGAUCCAGCCAUACCGCGUGGGUGAAGAAGGCCUUCGGGUUGUAAAGCCCUUUUGUUGGGAAAGAAAAGCAGCAGGUUAAUACCCCGCUGUUCUGACGGUACCCAAAGAAUAAGCACCGGCUAACUCCGUG